This 586-nucleotide ribosomal RNA is filed under the name Schwanniomyces polymorphus. RNAcentral describes it as "partial large subunit ribosomal RNA". It matches the Rfam family "Eukaryotic large subunit ribosomal RNA", at positions 68 to 669 of the family's 3401-position model. Lineage: Eukaryota; Fungi; Ascomycota; Pichiomycetes; Serinales; Debaryomycetaceae. The record is from RNAcentral.
ACGGGGUAUUGCCUCAGUAACGGCGAGUGAAGCGGCAAAAGCUCAAAUUUGAAAUCUGGCACCUUCGGUGUCCGAGUUGUAAUUUGAAGAAGGUAACUUUGGAGUUGGCUCUUGUCUAUGUUCCUUGGAACAGGACGUCACAGAGGGUGAGAAUCCCGUGCGAUGAGAUGCCCAAUUCUAUGUAAAGUGCUUUCGAAGAGUCGAGUUGUUUGGGAAUGCAGCUCUAAGUGGGUGGUAAAUUCCAUCUAAAGCUAAAUAUUGGCGAGAGACCGAUAGCGAACAAGUACAGUGAUGGAAAGAUGAAAAGAACUUUGAAAAGAGAGUGAAAAAGUACGUGAAAUUGUUGAAAGGGAAGGGCUUGAGAUCAGACUUGGUAUUUUGCAAGCCUUACCUUCGUGGUGGGGUCCCCUGCAGUUUACUGGGCCAGCAUCGGUUUGGAUGGUAGGAUAAUGACUUGGGAAUGUGACUUUGCUUCGGUAAAGUGUUAUAGCCCUUGUUGAUACUGCCUGUCUAGACCGAGGACUGCGUCUUUGACUAGGAUGCUGGCAUAAUGAUCUUAAGUCGCCCGUCUUAAAMMMCGRACACA